RNAcentral lists this ribosomal RNA (260 nucleotides) under uncultured archaeon. RNAcentral describes it as "partial 16S ribosomal RNA". It matches the Rfam family "Archaeal small subunit ribosomal RNA", at positions 748 to 1008 of the family's 1478-position model. The record is from RNAcentral.
AGGGUGUAAACGCUGCCGACUUGGUGUUGGAGGCCCUUCGGGGGCAUUCAGUGCCGGAGAGAAGUUGUUAAGUCGGCCACUUGGGGAGUACGUCCGCAAGGAUGAAACUUAAAGGAAUUGGCGGGGGAGCACCGCAACGGGAGGAGCGUGCGGUUUAAUUGGAUUCAACACCGGAAACUCACCAAGGGCGACUGUCACAUGAAAGCCAGGCUAAUGACCUUGCUUGAUUUUCAGAGAGGUGGUGCAUGGCGUCAGUGACU